AUUGAACGCUGGCGGCAGGCUUAACACAUGCAAGUCGAGCGGUAGCACAAGAGAGCUUGCUCUNNGGGUGACGAGCGGCGGACGGGUGAGUAAUGUCUGGGAAACUGCCUGAUGGAGGGGGAUAACUACUGGAAACGGUAGCUAAUACCGCAUAACGUCGCAAGACCAAAGAGGGGGACCUUCGGGCCUCUUGCCAUCAGAUGUGCCCAGAUGGGAUUAGCUAGUAGGUGGGGUAAUGGCUCACCUAGGCGACGAUCCCUAGCUGGUCUGAGAGGAUGACCAGCCACACUGGAACUGAGACACGGUCCAGACUCCUACGGGAGGCAGCAGUGGGGAAUAUUGCACAAUGGGCGCAAGCCUGAUGCAGCCAUGCCGCGUGUGUGAAGAAGGCCUUCGGGUUGUAAAGCACUUUCAGCGAGGAGGAAGGUGGUGAACUUAAUACGUUCAUCAAUUGACGUUACUCGCAGAAGAAGCACCGGCUAACUCCGUGCCAGCAGCCGCGGUAAUACGGAGGGUGCAAGCGUUAAUCGGAAUUACUGGGCGUAAAGCGCACGCAGGCGGUUUGUUAAGUCAGAUGUGAAAUCCCCGGGCUCAACCUGGGAACUGCAUUUGAAACUGGCAAGCUAGAGUCUCGUAGAGGGGGGUAGAAUUCCAGGUGUAGCGGUGAAAUGCGUAGAGAUCUGGAGGAAUACCGGUGGCGAAGGCGGCCCCCUGGACGAAGACUGACGCUCAGGUGCGAAAGCGUGGGGAGCAAACAGG
RNAcentral lists this ribosomal RNA (759 nucleotides) under uncultured Enterobacteriaceae bacterium. RNAcentral's name for it is "bacterial SSU rRNA". It matches the Rfam family "Bacterial small subunit ribosomal RNA", at positions 28 to 776 of the family's 1533-position model. Lineage: Bacteria; Pseudomonadati; Pseudomonadota; Gammaproteobacteria; Enterobacterales; Enterobacteriaceae. The record is from RNAcentral.